Molecule: ribosomal RNA, 510 nt
Filed under: uncultured bacterium
Lineage: Bacteria
Description: partial 16S ribosomal RNA
Rfam family: Bacterial small subunit ribosomal RNA
Source: RNAcentral
GACGAACGCUGGCGGCGUGCUUAACACAUGCAAGUCGAACGAAGAGCGAUGGAAGCUUGCUUCUAUCAAUCUUAGUGGCGAACGGGUGAGUAACGCGUAACCAACCUGCCCUUCUGAGGGGGACAAAAGUAGGAAACGACUGCUAAUACCGCAUACGAUCUAACCUCGGCAUGGAGGGAAGAUGAAAGGUGGCCUCGAUUGAUAAGCUAGCAGUGAAGGAGGGGAGUGCGGGUGAUUAGCUAGUUGGAGGGGUAUAGGCCCACCAAGGCGAGGAUGAGUAGCAGGUCUGAGAGGGUGAGCGGCCCCACUGGGACUGAGACACGGCCCAGAGUCCCACGGGAGGGAGCAGUGGGGAGACUUCCGGAAUGGGCGAGAGAUUGUCAGCGAGACGCAGCGUGAGGGUGAAGGAGCGUCGCGUGGUGGAGAUCUGUUUUUCGGGGAGAAAAACCUUCCUGCUAAAAGGGAGAAUGAUUGACGGUAACGGAAAAAAAAGCCACGGCUAACUACGUG